AGCAACAAAUGCCCUGCUUCCAGGAAAAGCCUCUAAGCAUCAGGUAACAUCAAAUCGUACCCCAAACCGACACAGGUGGUCAGGUAGAGAAUACCAAGGCGCUUGAGAGAACUCGGGUGAAGGAACUAGGCAAAAUGGUGCCGUAACUUCGGGAGAAGGCACGCUGACACGUAGGUGAAGUGAUUUACUCACGGAGCUGAAGUCAGUCGAAGAUACCAGCUGGCUGCAACUGUUUAUUAAAAACACAGCACUGUGCAAACACGAAAGUGGACGUAUACGGUGUGACGCCUGCCCGGUGCCGGAAGGUUAAUUGAUGGGGUCAGCGCAAGCGAAGCUCCUGAUCGAAGCCCCGGUAAACGGCGGCCGUAACUAUAACGGUCCUAAGGUAGCGAAAUUCCUUGUCGGGUAAGUUCCGACCUGCACGAAUGGCGUAAUGAUGGCCAGGCUGUCUCCACCCGAGACUCAGUGAAAUUGAACUCGCUGUGAAGAUGCAGUGUACCCGCGGCAAGACGGAAAGACCCCGUGAACCUUUACUAUAGCUUGACACUGAACAUUGAGCCUUGAUGUGUAGGAUAGGUGGGAGGCUUUGAAGCGUGGACGCCAGUCUGCGUGGAGCCGACCUUGAAAUACCACCCUUUAAUGUUUGAUGUUCUAACGUGGACCCGUGAUCCGGGUUGCGGACAGUGUCUGGUGGGUAGUUUGACUGGGGCGGUCUCCUCCUAAAGAGUAACGGAGGAGCACGAAGGUUGGCUAAUCCUGGUCGGACAUCAGGAGGUUAGUGCAAUGGCAUAAGCCAGCUUGACUGCGAGCGUGACGGCGCGAGCAGGUGCGAAAGCAGGUCAUAGUGAUCCGGUGGUUCUGAAUGGAAGGGCCAUCGCUCAACGGAUAAAAGGUACUCCGGGGAUAACAGGCUGAUACCGCCCAAGAGUUCAUAUCGACGGCGGUGUUUGGCACCUCGAUGUCGGCUCAUCACAUCCUGGGGCUGAAGUAGGUCCCAAGGGUAUGGCUGUUCGCCAUUUAAAGUGGUACGCGAGCUGGGUUUAGAACGUCGUGAGACAGUUCGGUCCCUAUCUGCCGUGGGCGCUGGAGAACUGAGGGGGGCUGCUCCUAGUACGAGAGGACCGGAGUGGACGCAUCACUGGUGUUCGGGUUGUCAUGCCAAUGGCACUGCCCGGUAGCUAAAUGCGGAAGAGAUAAGUGCUGAAAGCAUCUAAGCACGAAACUUGCCCCGAGAUGAGUUCUCCCUGAGACUUAAAGUCUCCUGAAGGAACGUUGAAGACGACGACGUUGAUAGGCCGGGUGUGUAAGCGCAGCGAUGCGUUGAGCUAACCGGUACUAAUGAACCGUGAGGCUUAACCUU
This 1360-nucleotide ribosomal RNA is filed under the name Salmonella enterica. RNAcentral's name for it is "partial 23S ribosomal RNA". It matches the Rfam family "Bacterial large subunit ribosomal RNA", at positions 1589 to 2925 of the family's 2925-position model. RNAcentral also lists the same sequence under 1 other name. The record is from RNAcentral. Lineage: Bacteria; Pseudomonadati; Pseudomonadota; Gammaproteobacteria; Enterobacterales; Enterobacteriaceae.